AUAGCUCUUGCGUUUGGGGUUUAUCCAAGAAACCGCUGUUCUCUAAACUAGCUGUUGUUUUGUCUGUUUUCAAGAUUUUUCACUUGUAAACUAGCUCUUGCUUUGAAAAAAAUCUGUUCUUUUCUGCUGGAUUUUAUUGUUUUCUGUUCAUCAAUCUAGAAAGAUUGGUUCUUUGAGUUGAAUUUUAUGUGGGUAUUGAUUCAUGAUUGAUUGAUCUUGUUGAAGUCUGAGUCUUGAAUGAGUGAAGGAAAUCUGAAGUUGGAAAAAGAAGCAUUUGUAUUGACCUCUUUGGAAAGAUUAGUCAAGGGGGUCGUGUUUAUAGGUAUUGUAGUUUUGAUCAUUAGUGAUGGAUGGAUCAAAUGGCAGUUCUUGGUCGCCGGCGCCAUUUCUGGUGAAGACUUAUGAGAUGGUGGAUGAUCCAAUGACAAAUUCUGUUGUAUCUUGGAGUCUAACUGGCCAUAGUUUUGUUGUUUGGAAUCCACCUGAGUUUGCUAGAGAUUUGCUGCCCAAGUAUUUCAAGCACAACAAUUUCUCCAGCUUCAUUAGGCAAUUGAAUACAUAUGGUUUUAGAAAGACUGAUCCUGAACAAUGGGAGUUUGCAAAUGAUGAGUUUAUCCGAGGGCAGAAACAUAUUUUGAAGAAUAUAUACAGGCGUAAGCCGAUCCACAGUCAUUCAGGUCAAGGAAAUGUGGCUCCAUUAACUGAUUCAGAAAGAGAGCAUUUUGAGAAAGAGAUUCAGCAGCUAAAAGGAGAAAAGGUUAUGCUUCAGUCGGAAGUAGAGAGGCAUAGGCACGAGAGUCAAGGAUACGAGCAUCAGCUCAAUUCCUUACGACAGAUAUUGCAGAACAUUGACCACAGGCAGCGUCAGUUGAUGAUCAGCCUAGCUCAGCUGUUGGAGAAGCCGAGCACCAUGGAACAGCCAGGGUUUCAGAGCAAGAAAAGAAGGUCCACAGCCUUGCAUUUCUUGCAAGGCGAAGGCCUAGAAAAUUCCGGUGCUUCGUCUCUUCCAUUCAUGAACAUGGAACAAGUUGAGGAACUAGCUUCUUCCCUAAAUUUUUGGGAGAAGUUCUUCCAUGGAGUUGAGGCUCCAGCCGAAGGCUUUCAUGACUUUAGGCUGCACUCCACGCGUUCACCUGUCAUCACAGCAUCGUCUGGAGAUUCUGAUAAUGCCUCACGCGGUUGCCACAUGUCAGCAUCAACUUCACGAGAUUGCAAUUCCUCCCCAGAGCUGGCUGCAUCCUCGACUUAUUUAGGCAGCCCUGAGAUAUCUUCAAUCUGCAUUGAUCUCGACUCUAGGCUAAAGCCAGUAGGGAUUGAUGUGAACAUGAGCCCAACCAAGACUCAUGUUCAUCAAAUGCCAAAAGAUCAAGAGCAGGAUGGCGCCAUCCCAUCUGUGGCAGCUGGUCUAAACGACGUCUUCUGGCAGCAGUUUCUGACUGAGGCUCCUGGUUCCUCUACAGCACAAGAAGUGAAACCAGAGGAAGAUAGUGGAUCUUGAGAAGCAUCCAAGUGAUGAGCGAAAGCCAGCUAACUCGAGUGCUGAGGAACAAAGCUGCAACGUGUCAUAUGCUAACUUUAGGUAUUAUUGCUUGAGUUUGAGGAGCUAUACUGAGAAGAGACUUUGCUUGCUAGUGUCUCGUGUUAUGUGGAAGAUAUGUCUAAGACUCGCUGGAACCUAGAGACGACUGCUCCACCGAGCUCUUGGGAGAUUUCCUGUCCAAGAGCUUGAGCUGAAGGUUCUGAUGCCAGAUGUUGGCUCUCAUGAUUAUUACUUACAUAAAGUUUUUUUUGCUGUUAUUUCAGGGUUAUUUUUUAGAGUGAUAAACAACCAAAUUUUGUACAACUAAAAUAAGGUUAUAUUAAUAAUUUGAUGUAUUAAUUAUAUAUUAAAAUAAUAAAUGGAGUAAGUGGACAAGUUAAAAAGAC
RNA transcript from Salvia splendens (bonfire salvia), 1926 nucleotides. It is a transcript of the gene named heat stress transcription factor A-4c-like, with no coding region annotated. Lineage: Eukaryota; Viridiplantae; Streptophyta; Magnoliopsida; Lamiales; Lamiaceae. The transcript has 3 exons. The record is from RefSeq and is a predicted model, not a curated record.